RNAcentral lists this transfer RNA (73 nucleotides) under Diddensiella santjacobensis. RNAcentral describes it as "tRNA-Pro". It matches the Rfam family "tRNA". From Rfam's summary of the family: Transfer RNA (tRNA) molecules are approximately 80 nucleotides in length. The record is from RNAcentral. Lineage: Eukaryota; Fungi; Ascomycota; Dipodascomycetes; Dipodascales; Trichomonascaceae.
CAGAGAUAAGCCAUAGUGGUAAGGUGUUACUUUUGGGUAGUAAAGAUAGUUAGUUCGACUCUAACAUCUCUGA